AGGGACUGGGUGGGUUGCAGAGGAAGUUUAUGGGGAGAGUUGGCUCCGGAAUCCUCUCCUGAGUAACAAAAUCUAAGAAGAGGAAGCAGAGAUACAGAGAAGCCAGUGGGAUACAGCAAGCUCUGGUGGUGAACCCUGAUAAUGGGGCAGGACCUGGACUUCCAAGGAGAAAGCCCUGGAUGGUGAGGAGCAAUGUUGGUCGUGAGGUAUUGCUACAAUGCAAUACCACUUCAUGAAUGUCGUGACAACACAACACCAUUCUCUCAUAUGCUGAGGGUCCCUGGGCUGACACCCAGAGAAGUGGGAGGGCCUACAUUCCCCUACCAGUCACCAGUGAAGGUGGAGUGAACUUCCUCCUUGUAUAAGGGGAUGAGGACUCGUGAAAGCCCUGGGGACAAGAAGAUGUAAGGACCCUGGGACCCAGGGUCAAGGGCUGAAAACCUGAUGAAAAGUUGCUAGACUUUGUUACCCUGGAAGGGGUGGAACUAUAAUGUGACCUGGCUGGAGGGCCAAGUCAUGAGAAGAGAGACCCGCACAGGCCCAGACUGAACAUCGGCAGGAGGCACACCAGGCUACAGCGGAAAGAGCGGCUACACCACACGCAGCCAAGAGGGGAGCACACCAGCAGUGACUCCACCUUUCCACAGGGACUGAGAAUCAUUUCUGCAGACUAGAAAUGAAGUAGGAAUUUUGAGAAGCCAGCUCAGGAGAAUGCAUCAUUGCAUCAGCUUUCCAACCACUGUCCCAGCAGCUGACAUGUCUGUUGUUCUUCCUUUUGUUUGGCUCGUCUUACCUUUCUAACCUGCCUUUUACUGGUUACCAGUAUUUUAAAGGAGGAAGGAAAACAACAAUUAUUGAAACUUUAAAGUUUUCACAGAACUCAUUAACAAGCUAGGGUGACCAGAUGAGAUGAAGAAAAUAUCAGGGGGAAGGGAGGAGCCAGCGGAGCAAGGAGAAGAAAAAAAAAAUGUGCUGCCGGCAGAGCAAGAAAAACAACAACAACAAAAAAACAGUGCUGCCGGCAGAGUGAAAUAUCCGGACAAAUUGUGUCCUGACCGAUCUUUGGUCAGGAUGUGGGACAACCACCCAAAUAUCAGGACACUCCCUAUAACAAGCAGCCAAGAGGGGGCACCAGCGUAAAAAGAUUACAUACAAAUGGGAUUCAAUUUGCCAAAAGUAAUUAAUAUAUCAAGUAAACUAGAGGCGGCUAUUGCUGUUGGUAACAAUUUCACUCUAAAACCUUUCGCCGCUUAACCCUGUAGACAAGCUUUCUGUUCUUCAACAACAUGGUAGUGGCAACAUAAUUUUCUCCACAAUACAUCACCACUGUGCCACCAUUCUGACCUAGAGAUAUAACCCUUCUUGAGAAAAAAUGAUCAAAUGCACGUUCAAUCCUUGGCCUCUGAGUUAAACCUGCCAGUUAAGGUACCAGUUAAUGGCAACAGCAAUGGUAUUUUUGUAAGAUGUCUAUAAUAACUUAGAAAUUGACUCAUUUCACGCAGGCCACCAAAUAGCCAUCAGAUGUUAAUGACUUUGUUUUGUUCAUAAUUUCCCUGGGCUGGAUUUGAAUGACUCUAUAUCUUAUUACCAAUUCCCUGAGCUAUUCAGUCUUUCAAAAUCUUUUAUUUCUGACCCAGGAGUGACACUGGACUCUACUGCCUGUAACCUCAGAAGCUCCAAGGCCAGUCAUGUUAACAAGAGGCUUUCAUACUGGAGUUAGUCUAAAACAGAGGCGAUCACAUAUUUCAGUUAAAAAAAAAAAUGGGUAACUAACUAUAUGUAAACCCAUAGCAGUGGAAAAUAAAUGGCAGAAUGCAUGGGAUGCCUCCUUAAACAUCUAAGCAGCACACUAGUUAGUUGAAUUCAAAAUGGGUUCAGAUAAUUUACACUGGAUUCAGUCUACAGCCAGGAACUUCUAAACAUCAGGAAUGUUUUUCAAAAGUAUUAAAUUAAUGUUUUUUGUGAAUCAUCUCAUCAUUCUUCCUUUUGCAACAAAUAAUGUUUAUACUAUAAUUCUCUUACAUCUUUGAAUUUUGCAGUUAAAGUGACACCACAAUUGGAAAUCUAGUCAAUUUAACCCCCCAAAAAAGGUUAAAAGUAGUUUCAGGUAUUAUU
Molecule: long non-coding RNA, 2115 nt
Organism: Mauremys reevesii (Reeves's turtle)
Lineage: Eukaryota; Metazoa; Chordata; Testudines; Geoemydidae
Exons: 5
Source: RefSeq, a predicted model, not a curated record